Molecule: long non-coding RNA, 1647 nt
Organism: Diospyros lotus (date-plum)
Lineage: Eukaryota; Viridiplantae; Streptophyta; Magnoliopsida; Ericales; Ebenaceae
Exons: 2
Source: RefSeq, a predicted model, not a curated record
GAGAGGUGGUCUGAGCGUGGCUGCGGCGGCGGGCGACGGCCACCGCAUCGUCGAGCGCACGCGCCGCCUCCUCGGUUAAGCAUUGCCUGGCUGUGCCGACCGGCGUUGGCAUCGCCGGCGAGCAUAAAUAUGUACACACAAGCAGCAGUCGCCCACGGAAACUCUUACGCGCCCUCCGCCCGUGACAACACAUCCCCCGUGGGGCAGAGCCGGCCGUGUUCAUGAAUGAUUGGGCCACGCGUUCCAAGUCCAGCAGCUCUGUCUAAGUUUUGUGGUCGGGAGAAAUAGUUGUCUGACACGUGUCCGAGUGCAUGAAGGUUAUAGUGAACCGCGUUGACGGUGAGGUUAUCGUCCCGCCCCGUCCCAGUAAGGCGUAAAGGUAUGUGAUUUGACCCUUCGUUUUGUUUUGAUCAUACUUUUUUUUUUUCUUCUUCUUUCGCCCUCCUUAUCUUUAUUUUUAUUUCAGAACAUAAAAGGACAAAAAAAAAUAUUUAUGUGAUCCACGAGUUGUUUAUAGUUUAUUGCAAGUUGAUUUAUAGCAUUUUUUAAAUAACAAUGGUCACAAUCAAGGAAAAAAAAUUAUUUUGCUAAUUUAAUUUUAGCGUGACAAUAUUUUGUUUGGAAAAAUAGUAAUAAAUUCAAUUUUGAGGGAUGACAAGCUGACACUGAGGGUAGGUAAGAAUAGUAAUUCAAUUUUAGCAUUUUUUUUUUCUUCUUUCAUCACUUGGGGGGGGGGGGGGAUCUCUUAAAGAGACUAAAUUUUUAUGAUAACAUUAUAAAUUGUUUUAUUAACAUAAACUCGGAUAAACAUACAAGAAAAGACGAUAAAACUCCAGACUUUAAAUUUACAAUAUAUACUAUUUACCACCACAUAAUAUUUAUUAUUUAAUAAAAACAAGAAGAGGCAGAGCAUGGACCAUCAUCUCAUCUAAUGUCAUGGCUCGCUCUCCCUUGUAAUGUUGGUCGAAUCGAAUGGUUAAUUGAGGCUUCAACGUUUAAGGGGUUCUUGGGAUUUUCAGCCAAACAAGCCGUAGCAAUCAUGCUGUGCGCUCAUCCUCUCGGGUGCCAGAAGGGCCACCAAACCCAAGAAAAGCUGUUCGUUCGUGACUGACUGUGACAGCUUAUUUUGGACCUGCAUUACGCCCACUUGCAUCGCCUUGGUGGACUCCACCUCACGGCGGCGCACUGGUGGCGUGGACCAGUGAUCUGUGGCCUGCGGGGUUGUGUGUGUUUUUACUGGCUGAAAUUAGGGAAUAAACGAAAAGGAGAAAACAGGUGAUAAUGGGUCUUUAUGCAAGUGAAGUGAGGCUCUCACUUUCUCCAAAAAGUGGCUUUUGCUUAAAUUGGUAUAUUACCCAUUGUUUCCACCUCGGUUGUAAGGUUCCAUUCCCUUUCUGAGCCAAACCAAAGCCCACAACCCAGUGCUUGGGACACUGCCUUGCCAGAGCCCUAUUUUUGGUUGGCUCAGUAGUGUCCUGCCAUUGCCCUAAUUUUGGAUAAUCUACAUAAAUGUAGAUGGCUAUACGUCCUGCCCUUACAGCAUUUGGGUCAAUUUGGUUUUUGUCACCAUUCUUAAAAGUCAAAAUCUUGCCUGUUCAACCCUAAAUCCUUCUAAUUAUUCUAUUUAGGUUUCUGGGUUUGAUUUGA